UCCGGUGACAAUGGAGAAGUGGUCACACCUGGUCCCAUCUCGAACCCAGAAGUUAAGCACUUCAUCGGCGAGCAUAGCCCUUCGGGUGAAUCAAGCACGUUGCCGGUU
This 108-nucleotide ribosomal RNA is filed under the name Erysipelotrichaceae bacterium. Lineage: Bacteria; Bacillati; Bacillota; Erysipelotrichia; Erysipelotrichales; Erysipelotrichaceae. The record is from RNAcentral.